RNAcentral lists this long non-coding RNA (865 nucleotides) under Prunus persica (peach). RNAcentral's name for it is "long non-coding RNA (PPER_LNC008663)". The record is from RNAcentral. Lineage: Eukaryota; Viridiplantae; Streptophyta; Magnoliopsida; Rosales; Rosaceae.
UUUUUUGUAUUUUUAAAAUUUUUUAUUAUUUUUUUAAAAAAAAAAAAAAAAAGCGUACAGCCCCACGGCUAUACUCAGUUUUGAAAUUUUUAUUAAAAAGAAACGUGCUGACACGUGGGCAUAAUGGCUGGGGUUUUUUUUAUUUAAAAAUAGUAUAGCCGCGCGGCUAUACUCUAUUUUGAAUUUUUUUUCAAAGAAAUAUAUGUUGACACGUGGCUCCUAUUGGUUGGGGGACUUUUUUCACAUUUAAAAAUAGUAUAGCCGCACGGCUGUAUUCUUUUUCUUUUUUUAAAAAAUUUUUAUAUAUAACAAAAUAUAGCAGAGGCCGGAGGCGUUACUUUUUUUAUUUUAUAAAUGGAAUUUAAUAUAUAGUAUAGACGAGUGGCUAUAUUCUUUUACAUACGUGUUCAUAUAUAUGUACACACACAUAUGCAGGUACGUAUUUUUCAACAACACAUUCGUGUUCUAUACACGUCUCACGUUUGCUUUAAAAAGCAAACAUACAAUAGUCGUGUUGUACAUGUACGUACGUAUUUCUAAUAUUUUAUACCAGUAUUUUUUACAAAAUUUUCAGUAACACACACAAAUUCACAUAUUAUACCAAUAAUUCUCACGUAUUAUUGAAUAAGAAUAACAUAUGGUAUAAAAAUUAUAUUAAAAAUACCAAAUAGUGGAAUAUUCAUAUCUACUUUGGAUAUGUUGCAAAUUAAUAUCCAUAAGGUACAAACCAAUGCAACUGGGAGGGUCCUUUUUUGUAUUUUUAAAAUUUUUUAUUAUUUAAAAAGAAAAAAAGAAAAAAAAAAGAGUACCGCCGCACGGCUAUACUCAGUUUUGAAAUUUUUAUUAAAAAGAAACGUGUUGACAC